This 376-nucleotide unclassified non-coding RNA is filed under the name uncultured fungus. Its description in RNAcentral is "partial contains small subunit ribosomal RNA, internal transcribed spacer 1, and 5.8S ribosomal RNA". The stretch from base 1 to 73 matches the Rfam family "Eukaryotic small subunit ribosomal RNA", at positions 1759 to 1831 of the family's 1831-position model. Lineage: Eukaryota; Fungi. The record is from RNAcentral.
CCAAACUUGGUCAUUUAGAGGAAGUAAAAGUCGUAACAAGGUUUCCGUAGGUGAACCUGCGGAAGGAUCAUUAAAAAAAUUGCCCAAGACAUUCGUGUCCCAAGGCCCCACACUGUGUGCACCGUUUAUUCGUUCUUUAGCAGGGUCCUUGGGUUUUUUUCUCUUUGGGUUUGGCCCAACUUCUCUUAGACUCUAUCCCUUUCCCCUGUGGAUUGGGACAGUCGAACAUGGGAAGCAGUUACCCUGCCAAGUAACUCUUCAAACACGCAUUUUUGUCUGAAAUAUCGUUUUUUUUAUUGCGAUUUAAAUAACGCAUAAUAAAAACAUAACUUUCAACAACGGAUCUCUUGGCUCUCGCAUCGAUGAAGAACGCAGC